GUGUGUCCUCUGAUGCGUUUGAUCAAAGUUUAUUUUUAUUUAUAGCUUGGAAAAGUUACUUUCAGUAACAGCUCCUUUGGAUAAUAUUGUAUAAAUGUUUAGAAUUGUUAAUUUGAGGAAACUUCUAUCAAAUUUCUUUUACAUGUGAGCCGUAAGAUUUCGGGGCCUUUUGGGUGUUCUUGUUUGCGACUUAGAUAUUUUUUGAGUGGACACCACUCAUUAGCCAAUUCCAUCAGCCUGACGUGUCAUGACAUGCAGCACAGAGGGAGGGGGCUGUGUUCCUGGAAGCCCCUUCUAUACCAGAAUGACAGCAGUAGCUUAACUCUACCAGGAAGUGACUGUCCCUGCGAAACUCAAACCAAAUGUGCCCCCAACUCAACCUCCCGGAGUGAACCCCACAGCGCCCCCUCCAGCUCCAGGCAGCAGGGGAGGAAGUGACCGAAAGCUGGUUGCAAUGGGAAGAGAAAGCCUUAACUGAUUGUGAUUAAAUUAUUUCACAUUUGCAAAUUUUACAAAAUAUGCAACCAUAUGAACACUUUGUCAGGGUCCUGCCCUGGAAGGGGUUGUGUCAAUGAGAGGCCUGAGCUGGGCCUUGUGACUUCACAGUGAACCUGUCCCCGGAGCCCCAACACACUAGAGUGGUAGCGGCACAUCUCAGCAGCGUCCCACCCCGAGAGGGGCCUCCAGGGGACUGGCACGUGGGAGGGCCUUCACCAGAUGGUGUCACCGUUCUAUUAGGCUGACAGGGAACUUGGGAAGACCAGAGAGCCCCAGGGGCGUGAGCUCACUGCCACAGUUCAUCAGCUCUAAGAUGGGUCCUCGGUGUGCCGCAUGUCCAACAGGAAGGAAGGUGGAAGCAGAGAGAGAUUUGGUUACAGAAGAAGAGAAGGUGAGGUGACCACGGAGGCAGAGACUGGAGUGAUGCAGCCAGAAGCCAAGGAGUGCUGGACGUUGGACGAGGCAAGGGACAAAUUCUCCCCUGGAAACCCCAGGAGGAAGCACUCCUGCUAACACCUUGAUUUUAGCCCCGUAAGACAGCUUGCGUGUCCAGAGCUGUAAGAGAAUAAACUUCCGUUGUUCUAAGUCUUCAGGUUUGUGGUAAUUUGUUAGAGCAGCUGCAGGAAGCCGACACCCCAGGGAGCCGUAGCCCCCGAGUGGGCGCAGCCUGGUGCCUGUCCACAGCCUCUGGACUCCGGGGGACAGUUGCAAUCUGAACAGGGUCCACCUUAGCUGUCUGUUUCCCUGGUUCUCCUUGUUAAACGCCUGGCUGGCUGCCUUUUCAUGUGUUGCUAUUAGUUUCAUUGUGCCAUUAGCUUUUUUAUAAUUUCUCACCACUAAGAUCUCCAUUGUCUUCCACAAUGUCACACUUGAUGUCCGAAGAAAGUCAGCGCGCUCAGUCUCCGUGGAGCUGCUAGUGUUUCUGUCUCGCCUCUUGUUCUGGGCAGGGUCUGAGGGGGCUGGGGGUGGGGAGGAAGCCUGCUUCACCCAGAGUGAUACCUCUGAUCCACAAGUAGGUGUUGCAGGGGACGGUAUACCUUAUCCUCUCAGCUCGUCCUUCCCAGUGUGGAACCUCCGCCUACAACCGGGAGCUGGGGGACAGGGAGCCCCAUGUUCUCGGCCGCACCCUCUCGGAGCAGAGCUCUCACGACCUGGAGCUGGGUUGGGAGGGAGCAAGUUCUGGCCCAAAUGUCACAGAUUCCUGCUGUCCUUACCAAGGCUUCGUAGACCUCCUCGAAUGACUGCUGUCUGCCCUUUGGUCAAUAUCCAGCGUGAGAGGGUCAUCCAGCCCUCCUAGAAGUCCUGCCCCACCAGGCCCCUCAAGAUCAAGUCUUGGCACAGGCACGCUGUCGCUUCUGCUGCAUUAUUCUGGUCAAAGUCCUGGGUUUCCUUCAACACAGGAGGCUGCACUCAUCUUCUAUUGCUGUGUAACAAGUUCCCACAAACAUGGCGGCUUAAACUACAUCAGUUUGUUAACUCACAGCCUAUAAGUCAGAAGUCUGGGCACAGGAUGGCUGCAUUGGGAAAUUGACUUGAAUGACUAUCUGAUGUGACUACCUUUCAGCUUGAUGAACUUUCUUUAGUAUUUCUUGUAACCUGGAGAUCUGCUAGCAACAAAUUCUCUGUCUUUAUCUUGGAUUGUCUUUAUUUCACCUUAAUUACCAAAAGAUAAUUUUCCAGAAUAUAGACUUCCUGCCUGAGGUUUUUUUUUUUUUUUUGUGAGGAAGACUGGCCCUGAGCUAACAUCUGUUGCCAAUCUGUUGUUUUGAAGAUUGUUGCCGAGCUAACAUCUGUGGCAAUCUCUCUCUAUUUUUUUGUACGUGGGAUGCCACCACAGCAUGGCUUGAUGAGCGGUGCAUAAGUGACCUGUGAACCCCAGGCCGCUGCAGUGGAGUGUGAACUUAAGCACUACACCACCAGCCAGCCCCUGCCUGAGUUUUUUAAUGAUGUUGGGCAUGUCAUCCCGUUGUGUCGUGGCCUCCACUGUUUCUGAUGAAACAAAGUUAGGUGUCGAUCUUACUGGGUUUUCUUAUGUGUGAUGAGUCAUUUUUAUCUUGUAACUUUUGAGGUUUCUCUUUGUCUGUCAAUAUUUUGACUAUGAUAUGUCAGCUCCUAGGGACCACCCACAUUCCUUGCCACAUGGCCCCCUCCAGCAAUGGAGAAUCGCCUGUACAUGGAAUUGCUUUCAUGCUUUGCGUCUUCCACCAGGAAGAGACCAUCCUUUUAAGGGCUCACCUAAUUAAGUCAGGCUCACCCAGGAUAAUCUCCCUUUAUACCUCAGCUGUCAGAGAACAUUACCUAAUCAUGGGAGUAAAAUCCAUUCUAUUUACAGUCCUGGGAUUAUGCAGGGUGUGUCCACCAGGGCAGGAAACCUUGGGGGCUUUCUUAGAAUUCUGCCUACCACAGCCCACCCUCUGGCUUCCAGGGAAUGUCUGAGUUGGAGGCUGGCUGCCCUGAACCUGUCAUUCUUUUGGUUGCCACCCCGUCUCCUGGAACACUGCUUUCAGAGGGGAGGUGUCCCCCGCCACAGUCAGCACUGGUGAGAACUCCUGCAGAGGUUCCCCAUGCCACACGGAAGCAGCGGGGAGGGACAUGCCAUCUAGGAGAACCUGCCAGUUGACAAGUGGGAACUGCACGGAGCAGACCAUCAAAGAGGAAAGAAAUGCUGAUCAGAGUGGAAGAAAAGGACACAAACGAUGGCCCCUGCCCAGAGCUGCUCAUUACAGGAAGAGAGUCCUUCCCAUGUUCUGAAAUGAAAACC
This is a long non-coding RNA of Equus caballus (horse), 3259 nucleotides long. NCBI's taxonomy places the organism in Eukaryota, Metazoa, Chordata, Mammalia, Perissodactyla, Equidae. The record is from Ensembl.